AUUCAGACUGUGGUGAAAAUACACAUGUUCUCAAUUACUUUUGCCCGGUGUUGACACGCAUCAAUUUCAUUUUCAUUCCCUCGUUGAGAACAAUCACGUCUGAUGGAAGAAGUCAGAAAGGAUUACGUAUGAAAUUGAAUGGGAGAAAAUUGUGAUGUGUCAAGUAGAACAGAUUAGACCCUGAAAUCCUCGCCUCUUCUCCAAGCUUGAAACUUGCACCAGCAGUGUAGUGAGACUGUUGUCUCUUUUGGAUUCAUUCUCUCUCCACUGUGCAGUGAAAAGUGCCCCCAGGCUGGAAUCCAGUCCAGAAACAGACAAUGUGAAAAUACUUUCACUUCAACCCCAUGAAGAUUACAUAGAAGAAAAUGCCAGAUGAAGUUCCUUAUUGUUUCUCAUUCACAGAAUUUAUUUCCACUAAGUUAUUAAAAAAAUGGGCAAAAGAAAGUGGAACUUCAACUGUUCCUUAGGACAAUACGGACUUGUGUUUUUGAAGAAGCAAAGUGGAAAUGAUUAGGCAGCAGGGACUCUUUGCAGAAAAACGUAAGGAGCAAAGAAAAAUUUCUCAGAAAAGGAGAUUUGAAGCACAAUUGUCAUCAGUUCACAGAAGAAUUUUGAAGUUCUGUUUCCAGAGGCCUCUCUCUGCCUGCCCAGAGACUGUACAUCUUCAGAGAUGAGCAAAACUCUGCACUCUGCAAAAUCAGCACCCUCUGUCUAAUCAAAAGUUAACUUGGCCCAGGUUUUAGUUUCUCUGUAAGUUUUGUUGGAAAGUAAUAUAAUAAAUCUUAUUACAAGAUACAGCUGAUUAUGUAUACAUUAUGUCUUUGGAGAAAUUUGCAUUUUAAGAGGAAGGUCAAGGAUGCCUUAAUUACAAACAUUGCAUUUUUGGUUAUUUAAAUAGUAUCUGGGAAAACGGUGAAGAUAUAUAGGAAGUUAAGAAAGAUACCUGUAUCUACCACGUGUGAAAGAUUAUCUCAGUAAAUAGAAUUGGCUACAUAUUCAUCUAUUAUAAUAAUACCAAAAAAGAAGAUAUAUAUCUUCAAAGCGUCACAAUUUUUGUAGUCAGCAAAAUGAAUGGCAAAGAUAAUGAGAGAAUAAAGAUACAAAAAUGAGUAUUUAAAAAUAGAAUUCCAAUGGGAAAACUGUUAAUUUUAAAAAUUAUAUGUAAAGAUGAGGUUGCUGUUAAGCAUUUUACACCAAUAGAGAUAUCAAUUGGAAUAUUUUAUGUGAAGAAAAGAAAUAAUGACUUAACUUUGUCAAUAAAGAAAGCA
This 1268-nucleotide long non-coding RNA is filed under the name Homo sapiens (human). RNAcentral describes it as "HSALNT0019511". The record is from RNAcentral. Lineage: Eukaryota; Metazoa; Chordata; Mammalia; Primates; Hominidae.